UUCAAUUCUCAAGAAAGUCAUCUCUUUCAGAACUUUUCAUCUGCAAUGUAGUACUUUCCUUUAACCUUUCCACUCCUUCGGCCAUUUUCAAUCUGGUUCUCUCACCCAAUCAGCAAGCUUUUGUUUCUCGGUAUACCCAGGAACGCUCUUCAGCAGAGCUUCGACAGAGAAAGUGAAGGGUACCUCUUCAUGGGUCUCCGAAUAGGGAAGAAGAAUGGCUCCUUCAGCAUUUUUGGCCACAAUACCCGAGGCCAAUUUAUAUUUACAAUCAUCAUACGCAUCGUCAAAAUUGAUUUUGACAAUAGAAUCAGGUGGGCCACUCCACUUUAUCGACCCUUAAGGUUUUGAAAGAUUUCUUUUUUCGAUCCCAUUUAACUCAUUGAUGUAGUUAUUAACAAACCUUGUUAAAUCAUUUCCAAUGCUUACUUUUCGUUUAUGGAUUCUAGCAUUUUUGUUUUCCCAAA
Gossypium arboreum is the source of this 464-nucleotide long non-coding RNA. RefSeq lists it as uncharacterized. NCBI's taxonomy places the organism in Eukaryota, Viridiplantae, Streptophyta, Magnoliopsida, Malvales, Malvaceae. The record is from RefSeq and is a predicted model, not a curated record. The transcript has 2 exons.